This 253-nucleotide ribosomal RNA is filed under the name uncultured bacterium. RNAcentral's name for it is "partial 16S ribosomal RNA". It matches the Rfam family "Bacterial small subunit ribosomal RNA", at positions 524 to 776 of the family's 1533-position model. The record is from RNAcentral.
UACAGAGGGUGCGAGCGUUAAUCGGAUUUACUGGGCGUAAAGCGUGUGUAGGUGGCUACCUAAGUCGAUUGUGAAAUCCCUGGGCUUAACCUGGGAAUUGCAGUCGAUACUGGGCAGCUAGAGUUCGGUAGAGGGUGACGGAAUUCCCGGUGUAGCAGUGAAAUGCGUAGAUAUCGGGAGGAACAUCGAUGGCGAAGGCAAUCACCUGGGCCUGGACUGACACUGUGACACGAAAGCGUGGGUAGCAAACAGG